Molecule: long non-coding RNA, 675 nt
Organism: Bufo bufo (common toad)
Lineage: Eukaryota; Metazoa; Chordata; Amphibia; Anura; Bufonidae
Exons: 2
Source: RefSeq, a predicted model, not a curated record
CAGCAAGUUCUGGAAGAAAUAUUUACAGCAAGUCAAGGGACGGAAGUGUACAGUGCAGAGUAUCCUGAGCUAGAAGAACUGCUCUCAGUGUCCUCAUAACCAGGGGCUGUGUUAUACUUGCUCACUGUCUUCACUUGUUGAGGGGGAAAAUCCUUUGGAGAAAAAGAGGAUAAACUAGUAUACAAUGGCCACCUGUUCUUGUAUUCUGUGGUGCAUAUUUUGGAUUGUAGUCCUUAUUUUCUUGGCCUGGCCACUCAGCAUCUUUUUUGGAGCUCUGUAUGGGUUUCUGGCACCCCUCACCACCUGUGUGGGACUGGACCAGGUGACAGACUUGUUGCUCCAGGGGGUCAACCUGGGCAGAACCUGUGCAGAGUACGCACGUACAGGAAAAUCCCUUUGCUGAGCGGAUGACGUGGGCUUUCUACAACUUGAUCAAUGCUUCAUCUCAAGUCACUAAAAUUUCUAAGACUUACAAGACCUUUCACCCGUCUGUCUGAACAGUGAUAUUAACAACUUUGCCGAUGAACACCAGCGGCUCUAUCUGGGGAGUAUAUGUUUGGGACUUCUCCAGAUGAGGGUUAUAUGUACCUUUUGUAUUACUUGCCUUGUUUUGUAUUAAAUACAUUUCCAAUGGUCGUUUGUAGAAGUUCAUCAUAAAAAUUAAGGUAAUCGGCA